AUGGCCGUCGUCAGUUCGUACUGUGAAGCAUCCUGUUAAGUCAGGCAACGAGCGAGACCCACGCCAACAGUUGCCAGCAUGUCCUCCGGGAUGAUGGGGACACUGUUGGGACCGCCUCUGCUAAAGAGGAGGAAGGAAUGGGCAACGGUAGGUCAGCAUGCCCCGAAUUAUCCGGGCUACACGCGGGCUACAAUGGUCAGGACAAUGGGUAUCGACACCGAGAGGUGGAGGCAAUCUCCUAAACCUGUCCUUAGUUCGGAUUGUGGGCUGCAACUCGUCCACAUGAAGCUGGAAUCCGUAGUAAUCGCGUUUCAAAAUAGCGCGGUGAAUAUGUCCCUGCUCCUU
Molecule: ribosomal RNA, 345 nt
Filed under: uncultured Methanolinea sp.
Lineage: Archaea; Methanobacteriati; Methanobacteriota; Methanomicrobia; Methanomicrobiales; Methanoregulaceae
Description: bacterial SSU rRNA
Rfam family: Archaeal small subunit ribosomal RNA
Source: RNAcentral